Molecule: ribosomal RNA, 253 nt
Filed under: uncultured bacterium
Lineage: Bacteria
Description: partial 16S ribosomal RNA
Rfam family: Bacterial small subunit ribosomal RNA
Source: RNAcentral
UACGUAGGUGACCAGCGUUGUCCGGAUUUACUGGGCGUAAAGAGCGCGCAGGCGGUCGUUCAAGUCGAGUGUGAAAGCCCCCGGCUCAACUGGGGAGGGUCACUCGAUACUGAUCGACUUGAAGGCAGGAGAGGGAAGCGGAAUUCCCGGUGUAGUGGCGAAAUGCGUAGAUAUCGGGAGGAACACCAGUGGCGAAGGCGGCUUCCUGGCCUGUUCUUGACGCUGAGGCGCGAAAGCUAGGGGAGCAAACGGG